This 346-nucleotide ribosomal RNA is filed under the name uncultured bacterium. RNAcentral's name for it is "partial 16S ribosomal RNA". It matches the Rfam family "Bacterial small subunit ribosomal RNA", at positions 338 to 681 of the family's 1533-position model. The record is from RNAcentral.
CCUACGGGUGGCAGCAGUGAGGAAUAUUGGUCAAUGGGCGCGAGCCUGAACCAGCCAAGUAGCGUGAAGGAUGACUGCCCUACGGGUUGUAAACUUCUGUUAUAAAGGAAUAAAGUGAGGCACGUGUGCCUUUUUGUAUGUACGUUAUGAAUAAGGAUCGGCUAACUCCGUGCCAGCAGCCGCGGUAAUACGGAGGAUCCGAGCGUUAUCCGGAUUUAUUGGGUUUAAAGGGAGCGUAGAGGGGUUGUUAAGUCCGUUGUGAAAGUUUGCGGCUCAACCGUAAAAUUGCAAUUGAUACUGGCAGUCUUGAGUACAGUUUCGCUAGGCGCACUUCGUUGUGUCGCGG